This 59-nucleotide transfer RNA is filed under the name Oesophagostomoides giltneri. Its description in RNAcentral is "tRNA-Ile". Lineage: Eukaryota; Metazoa; Nematoda; Chromadorea; Rhabditida; Strongylidae. The record is from RNAcentral.
AUUUCACUAGUAAAAGUUAUUAUAUUAUCUUGAUAAGGUAAAGUUCAAUAGGUGAAAUA